RNAcentral lists this non-coding RNA (30 nucleotides) under Homo sapiens (human). The record is from RNAcentral. Lineage: Eukaryota; Metazoa; Chordata; Mammalia; Primates; Hominidae.
UGGUCAGUUUACAGAGAUUGUGCAUUCAUG